GACGAACGCUGGCGGCGUGCUUAACACAUGCAAGUCGAACGGAAAGGCCCUGCUUUUGUGGGGUGCUCGAGUGGCGAACGGGUGAGUAACACGUGAGUAACCUGCCCUUGACUUUGGGAUAACGUCAGGAAACUGGGGCUAAUACCGGAUAGGAGCUCCUGCUGCAUGGUGGGGGUUGGAAAGUUUCGGCGGUUGGGGAUGGACUCGCGGCUUAUCAGCUUGUUGGUGGGGUAGUGGCUUACCAAGGCUUUGACGGGUAGCCGGCCUGAGAGGGUGACCGGCCACAUUGGGACUGAGAUGCGGCCCAGACUCCUACGGGAGGCAGCAGUGGGGAAUAUUGCACAAUGGGCGGAAGCCUGAUGCAGCAACGCCGCGUGCGGGAUGACGGCCUUCGGGUUGUAAACCGCUUUCGCCUGUGACGAAGCGUGAGUGACGGUAAUGGGUAAAGAAGCACCGGCUAACUACGUG
Molecule: ribosomal RNA, 468 nt
Filed under: uncultured bacterium
Lineage: Bacteria
Description: partial 16S ribosomal RNA
Rfam family: Bacterial small subunit ribosomal RNA
Source: RNAcentral